AUACGGAGGGUGCGAGCGUCAAUCGGAAUUACUGGGCGUAAAGGGUGCGUAGGCGGCUUGAUAAGUCGGAUGUGAAAGCCCCGGGCUUAACCUGGGAAUUGCAUUCGAUACUGUCAGGCUAGAGUAUGUCAGAGGUUGGCGGAAUUCCUGGUGUAGCGGUGAAAUGCGUAGAUAUCAGGAGGAACACCAGUGGCGAAGGCGGCUAACUGGGACAAUACUGACGCUGAGGCACGAAAGCGUGGGGAGCAAACAGGAUUAGAAACCCUAGUAGUCC
This 274-nucleotide ribosomal RNA is filed under the name uncultured bacterium. RNAcentral describes it as "partial 16S ribosomal RNA". It matches the Rfam family "Bacterial small subunit ribosomal RNA", at positions 523 to 796 of the family's 1533-position model. The record is from RNAcentral.